CCAGACUCCUACGGGAGGCAGCAGUGGGGGAUAUUGCACAAUGGGGGGAACCCUGAUGCAGCGACGCCGCGUGAGCGAUGAAGUAUUUCGGUAUGUAAAGCUCUAUCAGCAGGGAAGAAAAUGACGGUACCUGACUAAGAAGCCCCGGCUAACUACGUGCCAGCAGCCGCGGUAAUACGUAGGGGGCAAGCGUUAUCCGGAUUUACUGGGUGUAAAGGGAGCGUAGACGGCUGUGCAAGCCAGAUGUGAAAGCCCGGGGCUCAACCCCGGGACUGCAUUGGGAACUACCGGGCUGGAGUGCCGGAGAGGUAGGCGGAAUUCCUAGUGUAGCGGUGAAAUGCGUAGAUAUUAGGAGGAACACCAGUGGCGAAGGCGGCCUACUGGACGGUGACUGACGCUGAGGCUCGAAAGCGUGGGGAGCAAACAGGAUUAGAUACCCCCGUAAU
RNAcentral lists this ribosomal RNA (446 nucleotides) under uncultured bacterium. RNAcentral describes it as "partial 16S ribosomal RNA". It matches the Rfam family "Bacterial small subunit ribosomal RNA", at positions 331 to 794 of the family's 1533-position model. The record is from RNAcentral.